RNAcentral lists this non-coding RNA (181 nucleotides) under uncultured Vexilliferidae. Lineage: Eukaryota; Discosea; Flabellinia; Dactylopodida; Vexilliferidae. The record is from RNAcentral.
UCUUGAAUCUCCUGCAAACAUUGAUGCUGCAAAAAUGAUGAGAGAUAAUCCAACAGAGUAUCGCAAGCGUGUUGCUCGUAUAGUUCGUAAAUCUCAAGAAGAAGCUUGGGAUUAGUAUUUUUUCUUUUUUUUCUUCUUCUUUGUCUUCUUCUAUUUCAGGUAUUUUCGAUUCCCAUAAAAU